UAGUAAUGGCAGGUCAGCAUACUGCCGUGAAUACGUUCCCGGGCCUUGUACACACCGCCCGUCACACCAUGAGAGUUGGAGAUACCCGAAGCCUGUGAGCUAACAAACGAGGCAGCAGUCGAAGGUAGAAUCAAUGAUUGGGGUGAAGUCGUAACAAGGUAGC
RNAcentral lists this ribosomal RNA (163 nucleotides) under uncultured bacterium. RNAcentral describes it as "partial 16S ribosomal RNA". It matches the Rfam family "Bacterial small subunit ribosomal RNA", at positions 1336 to 1500 of the family's 1533-position model. The record is from RNAcentral.